Long non-coding RNA from Astatotilapia calliptera (eastern happy), 3335 nucleotides. NCBI's taxonomy places the organism in Eukaryota, Metazoa, Chordata, Actinopteri, Cichliformes, Cichlidae. The record is from Ensembl.
UGUCCUCAGUUUGUUUUCUCGCUCCUUUGUUUAUUUUGGUUCUUUCAGUUUACUUUCUUGUUUAAAGACAUGACUCACUGUGUGCACUAGCAUUCAUAUAGAUAGGCUGCUGCUGCUGCAAGCCCCACAGCACGGUGGACUAAACCAUUUUUUUAUCUGUAAGGGGUGAAAUGGCAUCACACCUAGUGUUAUCACGGCUAGUUAGGAAUCAAAGUUUAGUCACCUGACUGAUUUAUUCAUGAAAUUUAAAUAUGACACUAAUUACUAAAAAACAAAAAAAAUGCAAACUAAAAAAAAAAAUGUUUCAGGUUUGGAUAGACCCCUCCCACCUCAGGGGCCCUGGGUAGUCCUACUCUUCCUCCACCGCUUCCACGCCCCUGCUUGCGUUGACACGAUCACGGAAGACGCGGAAGACGCACGGAUAUUUAAACAACAUUAAAUGUUAAUGUUUUUAAUAAAGUACAACUCAGAUAAUCUCACGCCCAGGAUCUAUCGAUAAGGAAGUUUAAAGUUUUUUUAAAGCUGAAGAAGGAAAAGUCCGAACACGGAAAUGAGAGCUGGCAGGUCUGCGUGUCUCUGCUGGAGUUUACUGUUUGUCUGCGUCCUGCUGGUCUCUGCAGGAAGGGUUCAGAGGCCGAUGUGCUCCUAAUACCUGUCCCAAGACCAGAUAGCUCAGUGCAGGUGAGCUGAGUUCUAUCAGGGAGGGUACAGGGACGUUUCCCGGCGGCCUUGGGAUCAUUUUUGCCAGCCAUGGACUUCAGCUGUGCAGGAAAGCAUUGACAGGGCUCUGACAAUCCACACAUGUGGUGUGGCUGUGUUAGGCUCACUUAAAGACUGUUUGCUGUUACCAAUGCAUUUGUAGUUGUAGGGGACUGUAACACUGUCAUGAGAACUCCCUCUGUUCCAUUUGUCCACAGUGUUCCCACAGAGACGGAGACCUGCUGAUCUUUGAAGGAUUAUGAAGAAUCUCCAAACAGUUUAAUAACCGCAAAAUCAUCACAGCGGAUAGUGGACAGACUGCCACUCUGCCGUGUCGAGGUCCAAACAGCGACAUCAUAGGUGUGGAGUGGAGCAGAGCUGACCUGAAGACACAAUAUGUCCUUUUGUACCGAGACGAGCAGCUCGAUCCAACAAACCAGCAUCCGAAUUUUAAGGACCGGGUGGAUCUGCAGGACAGACAGAUGACGGAUGGAGACGUGUCUCUGAUUCUGAAGGAUGUGAAAACUGAGGACACAGGAACAUAUGAGUGUCAUUUGUUAGAUGGGAAGUCCAUCAGCAGCAUCUAUCUGAGAGUUGUUGCUCCAGCUCAGACAGGAGGACAGAGUGGAGAUGGAGUGAACGAGGAUGGAUUUGUUGGACUGAGAGCUGGUCUGCCUCUUCCUGUGAUGUUCAUCAUUGCUGGUGUAUUUUUAAUUUACCGAAAACAUAAAAAACGCAGGCGUCACGGUUUGUACUAUCAUGUGUGAACUGAAACUCUUUGUUGCACUACAUGAAGCAGGAAAAUGGUGGAGCGGUUUACAGUGGAGAUGUGGCCAUUACUUUUAUUUAUUUUUUGCACAGAAGGACAACAGAGCAAUGCUAAACAGUAUCCUGCUAACAGAACUUUGGCUCUUUGCAACCAUUUGCACAGACAGCAUGCUAACACUAAGUUAGCCAAUAACACAGAGUGUUGCUGAAAGUGGGUGUAUGCUGACCCCAGCCCAGCAGCCAGAGUCUGAACUUGCACAGGUAACAAAGGCAGAGAUGAUCAGUCAGACUUGAAAUUGGUGUUUCUACCUGUCCGUGUUUCUAUAGUAGAGCAGCUGUGGUGAUCACUUUGAAGUCAUCUUUGCUUUGUGUUGAAACCUGAAUAAUAAAAGAAAGAUCAUAUAUGUGUGUCCUCAUUAGGACAGGGAUUUUUGUUGAUGUGUGGGACUCGGUGUAAUGACACCAAAGCUGGUUAUAAGACACAAACACAAGAAUCAAACUGAGCUGUUAAGAGUUCAUGACAGAAACUGAGUAAUUUGUCAUCACAUGAAGUCAGAUUAUAUCAAGUAAUUAAUAGACAUGGAACUAUUUUUUCUUCUCUCCAUUAAGUGUUUUCUCUUAAAGGUGAAGCUAGUUUUCCUCUCUAUGAAUUAUAAUGUAAAAUGUCCUGUUUUUACAGUUUUGUAAACAAAGCUUUAUAUUUUAUACGCUAAUGCUAACAAAAACUGUUUCAUUUGUGAAUGUGAAGAUAUCCUGUAAGUUGUCAGAUUAAUGCAGCUAUUACAGUAAAAUGACUCUUUGCACAGAUAAAGCUUUACCUCCAUGUGUGAGUGAUCGAAGCAGAUGCUGUAUAGACAUGUUUGUAUUCACUGAAAUUCACAAGAACGUCUCGUGUGAAGUUCACAUUUAAAAACAGGGUCUAAACGGUAAAGAUGAUUUGGUAGACAGAGGAUGGAGGGUGGGUGGAUGAAUUGAUGGAUAUUUUUUAUACAUCCAAAUAAGAAAAAAUGAUUAUAAUUAAGGAUUAAACUAUAUCACUGUACAUUCAUGCUACUGGAAGGAUUCAUUAAAUAGAAUAACAUCAAGUGAAACGCUACAUGUAUAAAGGCUACCUUACACCACAAAGCCUCGCUCUAAAAAGCUUUCACAGAUUUAACACUGUGAAGCUGGGAAUAAAGUUUCUAUUUUUAGAGUAUGUUUGGCACCAUGUUGUGCAAGUACCGCAUGUGAUGUUACUGGGUUGGUUGGCUAAUAGACUUCUAUUCAUUUAUGUUAGCUAACUAGUGACAGAUCAGAUGUACCUGACUCAAACUGGCUCUCCUCCUCACUCUUAAAACAGGUGGAUUUUCAUGUUUCAGUUCAGCUAGCCGAUGUUGAAGAAUCACUUGCUGCUAAAGAGACAGAGGUGUAAAUUAACCUUUACACAUGUAAUGUUUCAUGUCCACUUUAAAUACAAUGCAGGGAUUUAGUGUAACACAUGGGAUACGUCCAAGUGAACACAUUUACGUUAAUUACUUACAUAAAAGUCUUCUUAGCUUACAAAGUUUUUCUAUCAGGCUGUAAAGAUGUCGUUAUGUAAACUUUAACAGAUUGACAGGUGACAGGAUAUGAUGUAUGCUGCUGUAGUGAAACUGGAAUGGGGUUUAAAACUUGUGAUUUUAACACAGAUAAUUUAUGCACUUUUUAAUUUUAUGAUGUUUAAGACUUUGAAAAAGUAUUUUCAUGAAGUCAGAGCUCCUAUCUUGAGAGCACAGGGUUAGCUUAAUGUGACAUCAGAGGCUGAGGAGGAGGAGAAGCUUCCACUUUAUCUUUGUGGUAAAAUGUUUCACUGUGUUUAAAGACAUGAAUAAAAACUGUGUUAAAUCAAU